GCUGGGUGUGGUGGCUCACGCCUGUAAUCCUAGCACUUUGGGAGGCCGAGGUGGGUGGAUCACCUGAGGUCAGGAGUUCAAGACCAGCCUGACCAACAUGGUGAAACCCUGUCUCUA
Non-coding RNA from Homo sapiens (human), 117 nucleotides. It matches the Rfam family "Metazoan signal recognition particle RNA". Rfam says of the family: The signal recognition particle (SRP) is a universally conserved ribonucleoprotein. It is involved in the co-translational targeting of proteins to membranes. Lineage: Eukaryota; Metazoa; Chordata; Mammalia; Primates; Hominidae. The record is from Rfam.